AACGAACGCUGGCGGCAGGCCUAACACAUGCAAGUCGAGCGAGGACUUCGGUCCUAGCGGCGGACGGGUGCGUAACGCGUGGGAACGUGCCCUUUGCUUCGGAAUAGCCCUGGGAAACUGGGAGUAAUACCGGAUGAGCCCUUUGGGGGAAAGAUUUAUCGGCGAAGGAUCGGCCCGCGUUGGAUUAGGUAGUUGGUGGGGUAAUGGCCUACCAAGCCGACGAUCCAUAGCUGGUUUGAGAGGAUGAUCAGCCACACUGGGACUGAGACACGGCCCAGACUCCUACGGGAGGCAGCAGUGGGGAAUCUUAGACAAUGGGGGAAACCCUGAUCUAGCCAUGCCGCGUGAGCGAUGAAGGCCUUAGGGUUGUAAAGCUCUUUCAGCUGGGAAGAUAAUGACGGUACCAGCAGAAGAAGCCCCGGCUAACUCCGUG
Molecule: ribosomal RNA, 433 nt
Filed under: uncultured bacterium
Lineage: Bacteria
Description: partial 16S ribosomal RNA
Rfam family: Bacterial small subunit ribosomal RNA
Source: RNAcentral